This 497-nucleotide ribosomal RNA is filed under the name uncultured bacterium. RNAcentral's name for it is "partial 16S ribosomal RNA". It matches the Rfam family "Bacterial small subunit ribosomal RNA", at positions 28 to 507 of the family's 1533-position model. The record is from RNAcentral.
GAUGAACGCUGGCGGCGUGCCUAAUACAUGCAAGUCGAGCGAACGGACGAGAAGCUUGCUUUUCUGAUGUUAGCGGCGGACGGGUGAGUAACACGUGGAUAACCUACCUAUAAGACUGGGAUAACUUCGGGAAACCGGAGCUAAUACCGGAUAAUAUUUUGAACCGCAUGGUUCAAAAGUGAAAGACGGCCUUGCUGUCACUUAUAGAUGGAUCUGCGCUGCAUUAGCUAGUUGGUAAGGUAACGGCUUACCAAGGCAACGAGGCAUAGCCGACCUGAGAGGGUGAUCGGCCACACUGGAACUGGGACGCGGUCCAGAGUACUACGGGGGGCAGCAGUAGGGAAUCGUCCGCAAUGGGCGAAAGCCUGACGGAGCGACGCCGCGUGAGUGAUGAAGGUCUUCGGAUCGUAAAGCUCUGUUAUUAGGGAAGAACAGAUGUGUAAGUAACUGUGCACAGCUUGACGGUACCUAGUCAGAAAGCCACGGCUAACUACGUG